AAAAACUCCGGUGGUAUGAGAUGGACCCGCGUCUGAUUAGCUGGUUGGAGGGGUAACGGCCCACCAAGGCGACGAUCAGUAGCCGGCCUGAGAGGGUGAACGGCCACAUUGGGACUGAGACACGGCCCAGACUCCUACGGGAGGCAGCAGUGGGGAAUAUUGCACAAUGGGGGAAACCCUGAUGCAGCGACGCCGCGUGAAGGAAGAAGUAUCUCGGUAUGUAAACUUCUAUCAGCAGGGAAGAAAAUGACGGUACCUGACUAAGAAGCCCCGGCUAACUACGUGCCAGCAGCCGCGGUAAUACGUAGGGGGCAAGCGUUAUCCGGAUUUACUGGGUGUAAAGGGAGCGUAGACGGAAGAGCAAGUCUGAUGUGAAAGGCUGGGGCUUAACCCCAGGACUGCAUUGGAAACUGUUUUUCUAGAGUGCCGGAGAGGUAAGCGGAAUUCCUAGUGUAGCGGUGAAAUGCGUAGAUAUUAGGAGGAACACCAGUGGCGAAGGCGGCUUACUGGACGGUAACUGACGUUGAGGCUCGAAAGCGUGGGGAGCAACCAGGAUUAGAUACCCUGGUAGUCC
Molecule: ribosomal RNA, 574 nt
Filed under: uncultured bacterium
Lineage: Bacteria
Description: bacterial SSU rRNA
Rfam family: Bacterial small subunit ribosomal RNA
Source: RNAcentral